GACAGAGGUGCCGAGCGUUAGGCGGAAUCACUGGGCUUAAAGCGUGUGUAGGCGGGUCGUUAAGUGCCUUGUGAAAUCCCACGGCUCAACCGUGGAACUGCUGGGCAUACUGCCGAUCUUGAGCCAGCUAGGGGCAACCGGAACAAACGGUGUAGAGGUGAAAUUCGUAGAUAUCGGGAGAAACACCGGUGGCGAAGGCGGCGACCUGGGUGGAUACUGACGCUGAGGUGCGAAAGCGUGGGGAGCAAAUAGG
This 253-nucleotide ribosomal RNA is filed under the name uncultured bacterium. RNAcentral describes it as "partial 16S ribosomal RNA". It matches the Rfam family "Bacterial small subunit ribosomal RNA", at positions 524 to 776 of the family's 1533-position model. The record is from RNAcentral.